GUUGAACGCUGGCGGCAUGCCUUACACAUGCAAGUCGAACGGCAGCACGGGUGCUUGCACCUGGUGGCGAGUGGCGAACGGGUGAGUAAUACAUCGGAACAUGUCCUGUAGUGGGGGAUAGCCCGGCGAAAGCCGGAUUAAUACCGCAUACGAUCUACGGAUGAAAGCGGGGGACCUUCGGGCCUCGCGCUAUAGGGUUGGCCGAUGGCUGAUUAGCUAGUUGGUGGGGUAAAGGCCUACCAAGGCGACGAUCAGUAGCUGGUCUGAGAGGACGACCAGCCACACUGGGACUGAGACACGGCCCAGACUCCUACGGGAGGCAGCAGUGGGGAAUUUUGGACAAUGGGCGAAAGCCUGAUCCAGCAAUGCCGCGUGUGUGAAGAAGGCCUUCGGGUUGUAAAGCACUUUUGUCCGGAAAGAAAUCCUUGGCCCUAAUACGGUCGGGGGAUGACGGUACCGGAAGAAUAAGCACCGGCUAACUACGUGC
RNAcentral lists this ribosomal RNA (487 nucleotides) under uncultured bacterium. RNAcentral's name for it is "partial 16S ribosomal RNA". It matches the Rfam family "Bacterial small subunit ribosomal RNA", at positions 28 to 508 of the family's 1533-position model. The record is from RNAcentral.